Molecule: ribosomal RNA, 504 nt
Filed under: uncultured bacterium
Lineage: Bacteria
Description: bacterial SSU rRNA
Rfam family: Bacterial small subunit ribosomal RNA
Source: RNAcentral
CUGGCGGCGCACAUAAAGACAUGCAAGUCGAACGGAAAGUCGUUAUAAAACAGAUUGACGAUUAUCAGAUUGAAGUUCAUAACAAUGGCUUUAGUGGCGGACUGGUGAGUAACACGUAAGGAACCUGCCUAUCAGAGGGGAAGUAACAGUGAGAAAUCAUUGCUAAUACCGCAUAAGCUAGUAGAAUCGCAUGAUUUAGCUAGAAAAAGGAGUAAUCCGCUGAUAGAUGGCCUUGCGUCUGAUUAGCUAGUUGGUGGGGUAACGGCCUACCAAGGCGACGAUCAGUAGCCGGACUGAGAGGUUGAACGGCCACAUUGGGACUGAGAUACGGCCCAGACUCCUACGGGAGGCAGCAGUCGGGAAUAUUGCGCAAUGGAGGAAACUUCCUGACGCAGUGACGCCGCGUAUAGGAAGAAGGUUUUCGGAUUGUAAACUAUUGUCGUGAGGGAAGAAAUUGACAGUACCUCAGGAGGAAGCUCCGGCUAACUAUGUGCCAGCCGCCGC